GUGCCUAAUACAUGCAAGUCGUACGCACUGGCCCAACUGAUUGAUGGUGCUUGCACCUGAUUGACGAUGGAUCACCAGUGAGUGGCGGACGGGUGAGUAACACGUAGGUAACCUGCCCCGGAGCGGGGGAUAACAUUUGGAAACAGAUGCUAAUACCGCAUAACAACAAAAGCCACAUGGCUUUUGUUUGAAAGAUGGCUUUGGCUAUCACUCUGGGAUGGACCUGCGGUGCAUUAGCUAGUUGGUAAGGUAACGGCUUACCAAGGCGAUGAUGCAUAGCCGAGUUGAGAGACUGAUCGGCCACAAUGGAACUGAGACACGGUCCAUACUCCUACGGGAGGCAGCAGUAGGGAAUCUUCCACAAUGGGCGCAAGCCUGAUGGAGCAACACCGCGUGAGUGAAGAAGGGUUUCGGCUCGUAAAGCUCUGUUGUUGGAGAAGAACGUGCGUGAGAGUAACUGUUCACGCAGUGACGGUAUCCAACCAGAAAGUCACGGCUAACUACGUGCCAGCAGCCGCGGUAAUACGUAGGUGGCAAGCGUUAUCCGGAUUUAUUGGGCGUAAAGCGAGCGCAGGCGGUUGCUUAGGUCUGAUGUGAAAGCCUUCGGCUUAACCGAAGAAGUGCAUCGGAAACCGGGCGACUUGAGUGCAGAAGAGGACAGUGGAACUCCAUGUGUAGCGGUGGAAUGCGUAGAUAUAUGGAAGAACACCAGUGGCGAAGGCGGCUGUCUGGUCUGCAACUGACGCUGAGGCUCGAAAGCAUGGGUAGCGAACAGGAUUAGAUACCCUGGUAGUCCAUGCCGUAAACGAUGAGUGCUAGGUGUUGGAGGGUUUCCGCCCUUCAGUGCCGGAGCUAACGCAUUAAGCACUCCGCCUGGGGAGUACGACCGCAAGGUUGAAACUCAAAGGAAUUGACGGGGGCCCGCACAAGCGGUGGAGCAUGUGGUUUAAUUCGAAGCUACGCGAAGAACCUUACCAGGUCUUGACAUCUUGCGCUAACCUUAGAGAUAAGGCGUUCCCUUCGGGGACGCAAUGACAGGUGGUGCAUGGUCGUCGUCAGCUCGUGUCGUGAGAUGUUGGGUUAAGUCCCGCAACGAGCGCAACCCUUGUUACUAGUUGCCAGCAUUAAGUUGGGCACUCUAGUGAGACUGCCGGUGACAAACCGGAGGAAGGUGGGGACGACGUCAGAUCAUCAUGCCCCUUAUGACCUGGGCUACACACGUGCUACAAUGGACGGUACAACGAGUCGCAAGCUCGCGAGAGUAAGCUAAUCUCUUAAAGCCGUUCUCAGUUCGGACUGUAGGCUGCAACUCGCCUACACGAAGUCGGAAUCGCUAGUAAUCGCGGAUCAGCAUGCCGCGGUGAAUACGUUCCCGGGCCUUGUACACACCGCCCGUCACACCAUGGGAGUUUGUAACGCCCAAAGUCGGUGGCCUAACCUUUAUGGAGGG
Molecule: ribosomal RNA, 1450 nt
Filed under: Limosilactobacillus reuteri
Lineage: Bacteria; Bacillati; Bacillota; Bacilli; Lactobacillales; Lactobacillaceae
Description: bacterial SSU rRNA
Rfam family: Bacterial small subunit ribosomal RNA
Source: RNAcentral